Molecule: long non-coding RNA, 226 nt
Organism: Myotis brandtii (Brandt's bat)
Lineage: Eukaryota; Metazoa; Chordata; Mammalia; Chiroptera; Vespertilionidae
Exons: 3
Source: RefSeq, a predicted model, not a curated record
UCAGCACAAACUGUUCUCAGAUGUGUACAAAGACAGCUGGCUCAAGGAACACUGAGUCACUCUAAUGUGGGAUUAAAAGUGUGACAAUGUCUGCAACAAUGAAAAUUACUAGACAUGGUGAUCCAGGCAGAGAAUGAAGGAGACUCAAGCGGUUCUUCAAGGACAUGCCACACAAUGCACUUGACAAAAAGUCCAACUUCGAGCUCCUGGAGAAGGAAGUAGGGCU